CCUUAGUUACCAGCACGUUAUGGUGGGCACGUCUAAGGAGACUGCCGGUGACAAACCGGAGGAAGGUGGGGAUGACGUCAAGUCAUCAUGGCCCUUACGGCCUGGGCUACACACGUGCUACAAUGGUCGGUACAAAGGGUUGCCAAGCGCGAGGUGGAGCUAAUCCCAUAAACCGAUCGUAGUCCGGAUCGCAGUCUGCAACUCGACUGCGUGAAGUCGGAAUCGCUAGUAAUCGUGAAUCAGAAUGUCACGGUGAAUACGUUCCCGGGCCUU
Molecule: ribosomal RNA, 273 nt
Filed under: uncultured Pseudomonas sp.
Lineage: Bacteria; Pseudomonadati; Pseudomonadota; Gammaproteobacteria; Pseudomonadales; Pseudomonadaceae
Description: partial 16S ribosomal RNA
Rfam family: Bacterial small subunit ribosomal RNA
Source: RNAcentral